UCGGGAAUUUUGCGCAAUGGACGAAAGUCUGACGCAGCAACGCCGCGUGAGGGAUGAAGGCCUUCGGGUUGUAAACCUCUUUUAUCAGGGAAGAUAAUGACGGUACCUGAUGAAUAAGUCACGGCUAACUACGUGCCAGCAGCCGCGGUAAUACGUAGGUGACAAGCGUUGUCCGGAUUUACUGGGCGUAAAGAGCGCGCAGGCGGUCGUUCAAGUCGAGUGUGAAAGCCCCCGGCUCAACUGGGGAGGGUCAUUCGAUACUGAUCGACUCGAAGGCAGGAGAGGGUAGUGGAAUUCCCGGUGUAGUGGUGAAAUGCGUAGAUAUCGGGAGGAACACCAGUGGCGAAGGCGACUACCUGGCCUGUUCUUGACGCUGAGGCGCGAAAGCUAGGGGAGCAAACGGGAUUAGAUACCCCCGUAGUCC
This 424-nucleotide ribosomal RNA is filed under the name uncultured bacterium. RNAcentral describes it as "bacterial SSU rRNA". It matches the Rfam family "Bacterial small subunit ribosomal RNA", at positions 355 to 796 of the family's 1533-position model. The record is from RNAcentral.